This is a long non-coding RNA of Bombus pascuorum, 1538 nucleotides long. RefSeq lists it as uncharacterized. The record is from RefSeq and is a predicted model, not a curated record. The transcript has 3 exons. Lineage: Eukaryota; Metazoa; Arthropoda; Insecta; Hymenoptera; Apidae.
UUUAUUCGAAUUUUUUACCCCGCCUGAUGGUCAAUACGGUAGUGCCAUCUUAACUGGCUCUUGCUAACCCUUCCAGUUUUUGGAAGUGAAUUGGUAACGCGAGUCUUUGGUGUUGGAUAUUAUAUAAACCAAACAAAUUUGUCAGAUAUUUGUAUCUCACUUGAGAAGUAAUACACAAGGAAGAUAUUAGAAAUUUCCUAAAACCUUCCUUGAUAACUAACUAGGUAAGGUCCCAACGUGAUCAAUUAACUUGACUCUACUCUAGUUGAUACUUAAUUAUGAAAACAAAAUUGUUUAAAGAAUCAAUCAUUUGGAAUAUACUAAGAAUAUACUCUAUAUCUUCUAUAUUGGAUUCUAUUUCCAAUCGUUAAUGCAUUUUUAUUUUUUAUUUCCUUUUUAUCUCUUUGUGCAGACUCAGACGCUGAAGGAUUCUCAAAGUCGAUACAUGAUAGAGUUCGAGAUAUACGAUAAGUCGCACGAUAAGGUGAUCCGUUCGAUAUUCGUUCGUUGUAGGACUGUAGGAUAUUGAAAUCCACCUGUUCGGUCAGAGCGCGCAACUACACGUACUCUACGUAUCUACAUGUGUCACGCUCCCACAACCAGUACCGCGUAUUUCCAUAGAAUCGGAAUCUUUCAUAUUGAAUCCGCAUUCGUGGAUCUUAACUCGUCAUGUGCAGUUUCCUUAGAGAUCCUUUACAUACGGAGAAGAUAACACCGGAUGUUUGAAAGACGACAAGGCGAUGAAUUUCCGGCGAGACAGAUACCGUACAACGAAAUAAAUCAAACAUUCUACAACUAUGCAAUUCCUGCAUUGGUAGGAGUGAGGGGGACCAAGUAAUCGAAAAUAUACGAAAAACAUAACCUCCACCUUCAAUUUUUCGAAGUAGAAGCAAAAUCAAUUAUUGCUCGAGCACAGAAAAAUUGCUGGUCGAUCAAAUCAGUCGACAGCUGUUGGUGAAUGGAAACUCAAAUUGCGACCACUAUUUCCCAAUAAUCGAUGUGUCGAAAGCAAAACACGCGGGCUUUAUACGCAAAGCAUGAAUACGAUUAAUCUCAUAAUGUUAAAAACAUUGAAGAAACGCAACAGUGCCUUUUUAAAAUGUAACAAUAAGAUUCAAAUAUUAAUAACCAUGGAAUUUCUGCAACAAGAGAAUAUUUAAGCUGGGUGAAUGUCGAUGAAGUUGGUUUACUCAGGGAAAGCAGAAGGCUUGUUCGUACUUGCAGAGGAGUGUCUGCGUGCUUCUCCAGCCGAACUUCCUGGACGAAAUUUCAACCGAUUAGAUUUCGUUCGGUUCUGGUACGAGAGAGAUCGAAUCUCCGGCAAAGGGAGCAGAAACGGUUCAUUAGGUGCGUAACAGAGCAAAUACAUACUUCGAGAAGGAGAAUAGAAGACAAAGUGUACCUGGGUAAAUGAGAAAAUAAGUGCGUUCGCAUGAAAGAAGAAAGGAAGAGGCUGUAGUUUGAAGUGGUAGCUUGCUUUCGAAUUUUGUUUUACGCUUGAUAGAUUGUGUCUGAGUCGUAUCACCGGAAAAUUUGGC